Molecule: ribosomal RNA, 301 nt
Filed under: uncultured bacterium
Lineage: Bacteria
Description: partial 16S ribosomal RNA
Rfam family: Bacterial small subunit ribosomal RNA
Source: RNAcentral
CAGCAGCCGCGGUAAUACAGAGGAUGCAAGCGUUGUCCGGAAUGAUUGGGCGUAAAGCGUCUAUAGGUGGCUUGACAAGUCUUGUGUGAAAUCUAUGGGCUCAACCCAUAGUCUGCACGGGAAACUGUCGGGCUUGAGAAUGGGAGAGGUGAGUGGAAUUUCCGGUGUAGCGGUGAAAUGCGUAGGUAUCGGAAGGAACACCUGUGGCGAAAGCGGCUCACUGGACCAUUUCUGACGCUGAAGCGCGAAAGCGUGGGGAGCAAACAGGAUUAGAUACCCCAGUAGUCCCUGUCUCUUAUAC